This 254-nucleotide ribosomal RNA is filed under the name uncultured bacterium. Its description in RNAcentral is "partial 16S ribosomal RNA". It matches the Rfam family "Bacterial small subunit ribosomal RNA", at positions 524 to 776 of the family's 1533-position model. The record is from RNAcentral.
UACGAAGGGGGCUAGCGUUGUUCGGAAUCACUGGGCGUAAAGCGCACGUAGGCGGAUCUUUUAAGUCGGAGGUGAAAUCCUGGAGCUCAACUCCAGAACUGCCUUCGAUACUGAAGAGCUCGAGUCCGGGAGAGGUGAGUGGAACUGCGAGUGUAGAGGUGAAAUUCGUAGAUAUUCGCAAGAACACCAGUGGCGAAGGCGGCUCACUGGCCCGGUACUGACGCUGAGGUGCGAAAGCGUGGGGAGCAAACAGG